RNAcentral lists this ribosomal RNA (1306 nucleotides) under uncultured bacterium. RNAcentral's name for it is "bacterial SSU rRNA". It matches the Rfam family "Bacterial small subunit ribosomal RNA", at positions 28 to 1381 of the family's 1533-position model. The record is from RNAcentral.
AACGUACGCUGGCGGCACGCCUAACACAUGCAAGUCGAACGAAGUAGCAAUACUUAGUGGCAGACGGGUGAGUAACAUGUAGGUAUCUGCCCUUUGGCCUGGAAUAACACGAGGAAACUUGUGCUAAUACCGGAUAAGUCUUUACGGAGAAAGCUUUAUGCACCAUUGGAUGAGCCUGCACUUGAUUAGUUUGUUGGUGGGGUAAUGGCCUACCAAGACUGUGAUCAAUAGCUGAUUUGAGAGGAUGAUCAGCCACAUUGGGACUGAGACACGGCCCAAACUCCUACGGGAGGCAGCAGUGGGGAAUCUUGCACAAUGGAGGAAACUCUGAUGCAGCGAUGCCGCGUGAGUGAAGAAGGCCCUUGGGUUGUAAAGCUCUUUCGUCGGGGAAGAAAAUGACUGUACCCGAAUAAGAAGGUCCGGCUAACUUCGUGCCAGCAGCCGCGGUAAUACGAAGGGACCUAGCGUAGUUCGGAAUUACUGGGCUUAAAGAGUUCGUAGGUGGUUGAAAAAGUUAGUGGUGAAAUCCCAGAGCUUAACUCUGGAACUGCCAUUAAAACUUUUCAGCUAGAGUAUGAUAGAGGAAAGCAGAAUUUCUAGUGUAGAGGUGAAAUUCGUAGAUAUUAGAAAGAAUACCAAUUGCGAAGGCAGCUUUCUGGAUCAUUACUGACACUGAGGAACGAAAGCAUGGGUAGCGAAGAGGAUUAGAUACCCUCGUAGUCCAUGCCGUAAACGAUGUGUGUUAGACGUUGGAAAUUUAUUUUCAGUGUCGCAGGGAAACCGAUAAACACACCGCCUGGGGAGUACGACCGCAAGGUUAAAACUCAAAUGAAUUGACGGGGACCCGCACAAGUAGUGGAGCAUGUGGUUUAAUUCGAAGAUACGCGCAGAACCUUACCAACACUUGACAUGUUCGUCGCGACUCUAAGAGAUUAGAGUUUUCGGUUCGGCCGGACGAAACACAGGUGCUGCAUGGCUGUCGUCAGCUCGUGUCGUGAGAUGUUGGGUUAAGUCCCGCAACGAGCGCAACCCUCACUUUUAGUUGCCAUCAUUAAGUUGGGCACUCUGAAAGAACUGCCAGUGAUAAGCUGGAGGAAGGUGGGGAUGACGUCAAGUCCUCAUGGCCCUUACGUGUUGGGCUACACACGUGCUACAAUGGUAUCUACAACAGGAAGCAAGACUGCGAAGUUAAGCAAAUCCCUAAAAGAUACCUCAGUUCGGAUUGCACUCUGCAACUCGAGUGCAUGAAGCUGGAAUUACUAGUAAUCGUGAAUCAGCGUGCCACGGUGAAUGCGUUCCCGGGUCU